RNAcentral lists this ribosomal RNA (440 nucleotides) under uncultured bacterium. RNAcentral describes it as "partial 16S ribosomal RNA". It matches the Rfam family "Bacterial small subunit ribosomal RNA", at positions 338 to 795 of the family's 1533-position model. The record is from RNAcentral.
CCUACGGGGGGCAGCAGUGAGGAAUAUUGGGCAAUGGAGGCAACUCUGACCCAGCCAUGCCGCGUGAGUGAAGAAGGUUUUCGGAUUGUAAAGCUCUUUCGGAUGUGACGAUGAUGACGGUAGCAUCUAAAGAAGCCCCGGCUAACUUCGUGCCAGCAGCCGCGGUAAUACGAAGGGGGCAAGCGUUAUCCGGAUUUACUGGGUGUAAAGGGCGUGUAGGCGGGAAAGCAAGUCAGAUGUGAAAACCAUGGGCUCAACCUGUGGCCUGCAUUUGAAACUGUUUUUCUUGAGUACUGGAGAGGCAGACGGAAUUCCUAGUGUAGCGGUGAAAUGCGUAGAUAUUAGGAGGAACACCAGUGGCGAAGGCGGUCUGCUGGACAGCAACUGACGCUGAGGCGCGAAAGCGUGGGGAGCAAACAGGAUUAGAUACCCUUGUAGUC